Molecule: long non-coding RNA, 264 nt
Organism: Ictalurus punctatus (channel catfish)
Lineage: Eukaryota; Metazoa; Chordata; Actinopteri; Siluriformes; Ictaluridae
Exons: 2
Source: RefSeq, a predicted model, not a curated record
GGCCGCAGUGUUAUUCCUCUUCAUCCCGUGCAUCAUUGGCGUCUUAUUGUGUUCCCGGAGCUCAGUCAAGAAACACACACACACACACUCACCCUGUCCUUCAUCCUCCAGCUCUGAGCGAGUGCUUUGGAGCCCUCAAUCUUCUCCAGGUGUCGUUUCUUCAUGAAAGCGAGAGGAAGAUUCCAGUCGCUCAUGUCGGCCUCGUCUUCCUCAGAAAGCGCCACGGCAGGCGAGUGAAGCAGCUCCACGUCCAUUUUCAUCAGG